UAACAUACAAUUGUAAUGAGUAGAGUCAAAAUGUUACACAAUUGUUUAACACAAUCAAAUCUAAUUGAUGUGUUUGUUAAUAAGGUCAUCUUCUACUGCCAGUCACAACUAUCUGAAAAAACUGUACGGGAUCCUACUUAUCCUUUAGAAAUAGAACAUUAUAUCCCACUACUACAUUCUCAUUCUUCCACAAAUUAUACAAGAGAGUAGACCCUACAAUACAGUAUUCUGAAACAACAUACAUAUUGAUAACACUUUACAAUAAACUUGAACUGCUAUUACAUUCAAAGAGACGCAUACCCAUUAAUAUUUAUGACACAUAGUAAACAUAAGAUACAUUUGACCACCUCUGCCUUAGGCAAUGCAGAGUUCAAGAGAAGAUUUUGCAAGCUAGAGCAAUCCCGGAUCAUUUCUUCUCAACACCAAGUAUGCCUCUGCUUUUUCAAUUUCAUCCAACACAACAUCCUCACAGAAUCCAAUUGACAAAAUGGAAACACAAAGCUCCACACGCUUAUGCACUAUUUCACCAGACAACCUCAAAAUGUUGAUCCAUUGAAACCAAAGAACGAGGGCU
RNAcentral lists this long non-coding RNA (574 nucleotides) under Amborella trichopoda. RNAcentral describes it as "long non-coding RNA (ATRI_LNC000077)". Lineage: Eukaryota; Viridiplantae; Streptophyta; Magnoliopsida; Amborellales; Amborellaceae. The record is from RNAcentral.